RNA transcript from Prunus avium (sweet cherry), 2418 nucleotides. It is a transcript of the gene named XH/XS domain-containing protein, with no coding region annotated. Lineage: Eukaryota; Viridiplantae; Streptophyta; Magnoliopsida; Rosales; Rosaceae. The record is from RefSeq and is a predicted model, not a curated record.
GUCACGUGAUCCUCACCUCUGGAAUCAAAAACAUUACUAGGGCUCGCUGAUGACCAUUUUACUCUUCACCCAACCCAAAGAAGAAGACGACGAGCUCGAGGAACACUGUCACUCUCUAUCUCUCACUACUAUAAUCCAGAUGGACUACAGCUCCGAAGAAGAGUCGGAUAUUAGUGAGUCUGAGAUCAACGACUACAAAGAUAAACCAUAUGAGCAGUUGAGGGAGGGAAAGUAUAAAGUAAAGGGUCCUAACGGCACUCUUAGAUGCCCCUUUUGUGCCGGGAAGAAGAAACAAGAUUACAAGUUCAAGGACCUCUUCCAACAUGCUUCUGGGGUGGGUAAAGGUUCUGCUAACAGAAGUGCCAAACAGAAGGCCAACCACCUUGCCUUGGCCAUCUAUUUGGAGAAUGACCUAGCCAGUGAAGCAGACCAAAUACAGCGCCCACUUUUACCCACACCUGUCGUUCCACAAGAGAAGCAAGAAGAAGAUCUCUAUGUGUGGCCUUGGACUGGCAUCGUUGUGAACAUUGUCAGUCAGCCAAAGGAUGGAAAAGAUUUGCUGGAUUCUAGAUACUGGUUGAGGAAGUUUUCUAAAUAUAAACCUUCAGAAGUUCAUACCUUUUUGAAUGAAGGAGAGCCAGCUGCAUGCGCCGUGGUGUGCUUUAGUAAAGAUUGGAGUGGUUUUGGGAAUGCUACUGAUUUUGAGAAAAUGUUUGAAACUGACUGUCACGGCAAAAAGGAUUGGAAUGCACGAAAGCAACAACCUGGCUCAAGUAUUUAUGGGUGGUGUGCACGUGCUGAUGAUUAUCAUUCCCAAGGGCCGAUGGGGACGUUCCUUCGCGAGGAAGGAAAGCUAAGAACAGUAUCUGACAUUGUCCAGGAAGCAGCUCAAAACAGAAAUGAUGUUGUGGCCAGCCUAGCCAGUAAAAUUGACAUGACAAAUGAAAAUCUGGAUGAACUAAGGUACAAGUACAAUGAGAACACAAUGUCAUUAAGUAGGAUGCUUGAAGAGAAAGACAAGCUACACAACGACUUUGUUGAAGAAACGAGGAAGAUGCAGCGGACUGCACGAGACAAUGUUCGAAGAAUUUUAGACGAACAAGAGAAACUGAAUUAUGAGUUGGAGUCUAAGAAAAGGAAACUUGAUUCCUGGAGCAAAGAAUUAAACAAACGUGAAGCACUAACUGAGCGUGAGAGGCAAAAGCUUGACGAGGAUAAGAAGAAGAAUGAUCAGAGAAACAAUUCACUUCACUUGGCUUCCGUGGAGCAGAAAAAGGCGGAUGAGAAUGUCUUGAGACUGGUUGAAGAGCAAAAGAGGGAAAAAGAGGAUGCCUUAAACAAAAUACUUGAGUUAGAAAAGCAGUUGGAUGCGAAACAGAAGUUGGAAAUGGAGAUUGAAGAGAUAAAAGGGAAAUUAGAGGUGAUGAAGCAUCUUGGGGACCAAGAUGACGAUGCAGUUCAAAAGAAGAUAAAAGAAAUGAAUGAUGAAUUGGAGGAAAAAGUUGACGAGCUUGAGGAUUUAGAAUCUCUAAAUCAAACUCUUAUCACCAAAGAGCGCCAAAGCAAUGAUGAGUUACAGAAAGCUCGUAAAGAAUUAAUAGCAGGUUUGAGAGGUAUGUUGGAAGUUCGAUCUCUUAUUCAGAUAAAGAGAAUGGGUGAUCUUGAUUACAAGCCCUUCUACAAUGCAUGCAAGGAACGAUUUAGUGAUGAGGAAGCACAGGUGCAGGCCUCCACUUUAUGCUCCUUGUGGCAGGAUAAUCUAACAAAAACAGAUUGGCAUCCUUUUAAGAUUAUAACUGUUGAUGGGAAUACUCAGGAAAUAAUUAAUGAGGAAGAUGAGAAGCUACGGAAUCUGAAGGAGGAAUGGGGCCAUGAGAUAUAUGAGUGUGUCGUUACAGCCUUAAAAGAACUUAAUGAGUAUAAUCCAAGUGGGAGGUAUGCUGUCUCUGAACUUUGGAACGUCAAAGAAGGAAGGAAAGCCACACUGAAGGAGGUUAUCAGUUAUAUCUUAAGCAAAAUAAAAACACUCAAGCGAAAGAGAACAUGAGGCGAAGGGCGGCUUCUGGUGUUCUUGCAUUACAAAGUUUGUGGGGGAACUAAUAAACUUCCUCAGGCAAUGGUAGCAAAAGUGGAAGACUAAAUUUGGAUCAACUGGUUGGAUGGCAAGAUCAUGUUUUCAUGGGGCUUCCUCAUAUGGAUAUCUGCUUAUGACAAGAACCUGCUUUAGUUGGAUUAAUUGUACCUUGAAUACUUAUGAACCUAAAUUUUUAUGUGGGAAACUUUGUGACUGCUAUUUUAGCACUCGCUUUUGCUAUCGGUUUCAUCAGCUUGUGUAUCUGUAGUUUGCAUUAUUGAAUCCAGUUCGGUGAUUGGCCGUGCCCUUCCCAACCUAAUGUAUUUGUGCUAACAUUGUAAAAU